This 468-nucleotide ribosomal RNA is filed under the name uncultured bacterium. RNAcentral's name for it is "partial 16S ribosomal RNA". It matches the Rfam family "Bacterial small subunit ribosomal RNA", at positions 28 to 507 of the family's 1533-position model. The record is from RNAcentral.
GACGAACGCUGGCGGCGUGCUUAACACAUGCAAGUCGAACGGAAAGGCCCUGCUUUUGUGGGGUGCUCGAGUGGCGAACGGGUGAGUAACACGUGAGUAACCUGCCCUUGACUUUGGGAUAACUUCAGGAAACUGGGGCUAAUACCGGAUAGGAGCUCCUGCUGCAUGGUGGGGGUUGGAAAGUUUCGGCGGUUGGGGAUGGACUCGCGGCUUAUCAGCUUGUUGGUGGGGUAGUUGCUUACCAAGCCUAUGACGGGUAGCCGGCCUGAGAGGGUGACCGGCCACAUGGGGACUGAGAGACGGACCAGACUGCUAUGGGAGGCAGCAGUGGGGAGUAUGGCAGAAUGGGCGGAAGCCUGAUGCAGCAACGCCGCGUGCGGGAUGACGGCCUUCGGGUUGUAAACCGAUUUCGCCUGUGACGAAGCGUGCGUGACGGUAAUGGGUAAAGAAGCACCGGCUAACUACGUG